CCUACGGGUGGCAGCAGUCGAGAAUCAUUCACAAUGGGGGAAACCCUGAUGGUGCGACGCCGCGUGGGGGAAUGAAGGUCUUCGGAUUGUAAACCCCUGUCAUGUGGGAGCAAAUUAAAAAGAUAGUACCACAAGAGGAAGAGACGGCUAACUCUGUGCCAGCAGCCGCGGUAAUACAGAGGUCUCAAGCGUUGUUCGGAAUCACUGGGCGUAAAGCGUGCGUAGGCUGUUUCGUAAGUCGUGUGUGAAAGGCGCGGGCUCAACCCGCGGACGGCACAUGAUACUGGGAGACUAGAGUAAGGGAGGGGGAACCGGAAUUCUCGGUGUAGCAGUGAAAUGCGUAGAUAUCGAGAGGGACACUCGUGGCGAGGGCGGGUUCCUGGACAUUAACUGACGCUGAGGCACGAAGGCCAGGGGAGCGAAAGGGAUUAGAUACCCGAGUAGUC
Molecule: ribosomal RNA, 446 nt
Filed under: uncultured bacterium
Lineage: Bacteria
Description: partial 16S ribosomal RNA
Rfam family: Bacterial small subunit ribosomal RNA
Source: RNAcentral